This is an RNA transcript of Bacillus rossius redtenbacheri, 1872 nucleotides long. RefSeq lists it as uncharacterized. The record is from RefSeq and is a predicted model, not a curated record. NCBI's taxonomy places the organism in Eukaryota, Metazoa, Arthropoda, Insecta, Phasmatodea, Bacillidae. The transcript is spliced from 5 exons.
CAUAUUGCAGUGUGUUUUAAUAUAUUACUGACCGUGAAAUAACGUACAGUUUGUGUUUCAGGAUUUUGUGUUAAUAUUGUGUAUUUUAACUUUGUUAUAUUAUUUAUUAUCUACUAUUGUAAUGAUGGAAUUUGUUAUCGUUUUGAUAUUUUGUGUGGUUCUUGUGAUUGCUGUAAUGGUAAUUGGUUCCGGGAUGGGGAAAGCUACUUCUUCGCAGCGUCAGAUGGACAUCAUUAACGUCGCUCAGAACUUAUAUGUUUUAAUUAGGAAAGGCGACUUGAAGAAAUGUGACGUUACGCAGACGACCGCGUUUCUUCUCAACAUCGCAAAGUCAACUGUUCUCAAGUACUACAAGAAAGACAUUGAAGAAGUUUCAACACCAGGAAAAAAGAGGAAAAAAAGGCCACAGGAAGGAAAGUCACUUGACACAGUCGACGAUUUCACAGUAAAUGCAAUCAGGAAUGCAAUUUACAGGAUGUACGCUGAAGGUUUGAAUGUUACAGUCGACACCAUUUUGAAAGAAAUCAGGGAAAGACAAAUAGAUUAUUAUGGUGGAAGAUCAAGUCUUCAUAAAUUGUUAAAGAAGAUGGGAUUUUCAUGGACAACUGUUGAUGGACGAAAAGCUUUGAUAGAGAAUGAAAACAUAGUAUUGAAGCGAAUAGAUUUCUUGAGAAAGUAUAAAGAAGAAAAAGAAAGAGGUGCCAAUUUCAUAUUUGUUGAUGAAACAUGGAUUUUCCAGAGAGGCAAGGCAUUAAUUUAUUUGAAAAUUUGUUCUGUGGUCCAAUACAAAGUAUUUCAUUUCCAUUUCAUAUAUUUUUCAGGAACUGUAUCAAAGUCAUGGCAGGACAAGAGUCUACAAUCUGCGAAGAGACGUACUGUUGGAGAUGGUAAAAGGUUUAUUGUUGUUAAUGCUGGAGGGCGCACUGGCUUUGUGCCAGGAGCAGGAUUACUUUUUGUUUCAGGUCAGAAGACUGCAGACUACCAUGGCGAGAUGAAUGGGGAAACUUUCUUGAUGUGGUUUGAAGACAUGUUGGUGCAUCUGGAGGAACCCAGUGUCAUUAUAAUGGACAAUGCUUCAUAUCACAGCACCCAGGUUGAGAAAACACCUACAACGAACUGGACCAAGGAUGCACUGAUCGCGUGGCUGGAGAAGAAUGAGAUAAAACAUGAAAAUAAUUUGUUGAAAGUGGAGCUGCUGAGAAUAGCUAAACAAAACAAGCCCCGAAUACGGUAUAUUAUUUCGUUUUUUUUACAGCAUUUCUUUAAAAGUGAGAUAGUUGCAAAAAAUUACGUAUACGCCUUGUUCUAACACACUUUUCAGAUAUGAGGUAGACGAGUUGGCUUGUAACUAUGGCCACAAAAUUCUACGACUCCCACCCUAUCACUGCCACUAUAAUGCAAUCGAACUAGUUUGGGCUCAAUGUAAACACCAUUACAAUAGUAACGUGGGGCGGGCCAAGAGAUUUGACAAUGAUGCAGUUGCAGCCAUCUGGAAAGAGGCUCUUGAUGCUUCCACACCAGAGAGAUGGGCGAGGUGUGUGGAUCACGUGGAGAAGCUAAUUCAAGCAGACUGGGAGAGAGAAGUCCACAUAGACAGCGGCACCAUUCCUCCACUCAUCAUCCACCUCGGCGAGGAUAGUUCAAGUGAAGACAGUGACAGCGAAGAAUUUGAGGUUACGACACAGCAAGUAGAUGGAGACAGUGAAGUACUGGCAGUUCCUCUUGAUGAUUUACCCGGGUGUUCUUAUUGAGGUCUGUAUGUAAUAAACACCUGGGCAACUGUAAGUAUUGGGGUUUGAAACAUUUUUUUUUUCUUUUAUGCAUUCCCAUUAAGUAUGUUGAUUACUGGAACUUUAUGUAUUAACUUUAUAU